CCUACGGGCGGCAGCAGUAGGGAAUUUUCGUCAAUGGGCGCAAGCCUGAACGAGCAAUGCCGCGUGAACGAGGAAGGUCUUCGGAUCGUAAAGUUCUGUUGAAGGGGAAAAAGAGCGGAGAGAGGAAAUGGUCUCCGAUUGAUAUUACCCUUCGAGGAAGUCACGGCUACCUACGUGCCAGCAGCCGCGGUAAUACGUAGGUGGCGAGCGUUAUCCGGAAUGAUUGGGCGUAAAGGGUGCGUAGGCGGCCUGCUAAGUCUGGAGUGAAAGGUACCGGCUCAACCGGUACAGGCUCUGGAAACUGGCGGGCUAGAGAGCAGGAGAGGGCGGUGGAACUCCAUGUGUAGCGGUAAAAUGCGUAGAUAGAUGGAAGAACACCAGUGGCGAAGGCGGCCGCCUGGCCUGUUACUGACGCUGAGGCACGAAAGCGUGGGGAGCAAAUAGGAUUAGAUACCCCAGUAGUC
This 464-nucleotide ribosomal RNA is filed under the name uncultured bacterium. RNAcentral describes it as "partial 16S ribosomal RNA". It matches the Rfam family "Bacterial small subunit ribosomal RNA", at positions 338 to 795 of the family's 1533-position model. The record is from RNAcentral.